AGUGAACGCUGGCGGUAGGCCUAACACAUGCAAGUCGAACGGCAGCACAGUAAGAGCUUGCUCUUACGGGUGGCGAGUGGCGGACGGGUGAGGAAUACAUCGGAAUCUACUUUUUCGUGGGGGCUAACGUAGGGAAACUUACGCUAAUACCGCAUACGACCUACGGGUGAAAGCAGGGGAUCUUCGGACCUUGCGCGAUUGCAUGAGCCGAUGUCGGAUUAGCUAGUUGGCGGGGUAAAGGCCCACCAAGGCGACGAUCCGUAGCUGGUCUGAGAGGAUGAUCAGCCACACUGGAACUGAGACACGGUCCAGACUCCUACGGGAGGCAGAAGUGGGGAAUAUUGGACAAUGGGCGCAAGCCUGAUCCAGCCAUACCGCGUUGGUGAAGAAGGCCUUCGGGUUGUAAAGCCCUUUUGUUGGGAAAGAAAAGCAGCAGGUUAAUACCCCGCUGUUCUGACGGUACCCAAAGAAUAAGCACCGGCUAACUUCGUG
RNAcentral lists this ribosomal RNA (492 nucleotides) under uncultured bacterium. RNAcentral describes it as "partial 16S ribosomal RNA". It matches the Rfam family "Bacterial small subunit ribosomal RNA", at positions 29 to 507 of the family's 1533-position model. The record is from RNAcentral.